Oncorhynchus keta (chum salmon) is the source of this 694-nucleotide long non-coding RNA. RefSeq lists it as uncharacterized. The record is from RefSeq and is a predicted model, not a curated record. The transcript is spliced from 4 exons. Lineage: Eukaryota; Metazoa; Chordata; Actinopteri; Salmoniformes; Salmonidae.
ACAAUACGGAUGGCACUGUGAUAGACUGCAUCCAAUUUGUUGAGUAGAGUGUUGGAGGCUAUUUUGUAAAUGACAUCGCCGAAGUCGAGGAUCGGUAGGAUGGUCAGUUUUACGAGGGUACGUUUGGCAGCAUGAGUGAAGGAUGCUUUGUUGCAAAAUAGGAAGCCGAUUGUAGAUUUAAUUUUGGAUUGGAGAUGCUUAAUGUGAGUCUGGAAGGAGAGUUUACAGUCUAACCAGACACCCAGGUAUUUGUAGUUGUCCAGGUUUACAGUCUAACCAGACACCCAGGUAUUUGUAGUUGUCCAGGUUUACAGUCUAACCAGACACCCAGGUAUUUGUAGUUGUCCAGGUUUACAGUCUAACCAGACACCCAGGUAUUUGUAGUUGUCCAGGUUUACAGUCUAACCAGACACCCAGGUAUUUGUAGUUGUCCAGGUUUACAGUCUAACCAGACACCCAGGUAUUUGUAGUUGUCCAGGUUUACAGUCUAACCAGACACCCAGGUAUUUGUAGUUGUCCAGGUUUACAGUCUAACCAGACACCCAGGUAUUUGUAGUUGUCCAGGUUUACAGUCUAACCAGACACCCAGGUAUUUGUAGUUGUCCAGGUUUACAGUCUAACCAGACACCCAGGUAUUUGUAGUUGUCCAGGUUUACAGUCUAACCAGACACCCAGGUAUUUGUAGUUGUCCAGG